AACGAACGCUGGCGGCAUGCCUAACACAUGCAAGUCGAACGAGACCUUCGGGUCUAGUGGCGCACGGGUGCGUAACGCGUGGGAACCUGCCCUUAGGUUCGGAAUAACUCCCCGAAAGGGGUGCUAAUACCGGAUAAUGUCUUCGGACCAAAGAUUUAUCGCCUUUGGAUGGGCCCGCGUUGGAUUAGCUAGUUGGUAGGGUAAAAGCCUACCAAGGCGACGAUCCAUAGCUGGUCUGAGAGGAUGAUACGCCACACUGGGACUGAGACACGGCCCAGACUCCUACGGGAAGGAGCAGUGGGGAAUAUUGGACAAUGGGCGAAAGCCUGAUCCAGCAAUGCCGCGUGAGUGAUGCAGGCCUUAGGGUUGUAAAGCUCUUUUACCCGGGAUGAUAAUGACAGUACCGGGAGAAUAAGCUCCGGCUAACUCCGUG
RNAcentral lists this ribosomal RNA (433 nucleotides) under uncultured bacterium. RNAcentral's name for it is "partial 16S ribosomal RNA". It matches the Rfam family "Bacterial small subunit ribosomal RNA", at positions 29 to 507 of the family's 1533-position model. The record is from RNAcentral.